Molecule: ribosomal RNA, 577 nt
Filed under: uncultured bacterium
Lineage: Bacteria
Description: bacterial SSU rRNA
Rfam family: Bacterial small subunit ribosomal RNA
Source: RNAcentral
CCUACGGGAGGCAGCAGUGAGGAAUAUUGGACAAUGGGCGCAAGCCUGAUCCAGCCAUGCCGCGUGCAGGAAGAAGCAUCUAUGGUGUGUAAACUGCUUUUGUACAGGAAGAAACACUCCCUCGUGAGGGAGCUUGACGGUACUGUAAGAAUAAGGACCGGCUAACUCCGUGCCAGCAGCCGCGGUAAUACGGAGGGUCCGAGCGUUAUCCGGAAUCAUUGGGUUUAAAGGGUCCGUAGGCGGUUUAAUAAGUCAGUGGUGAAAUCUGGUCGCUCAACGAUCAAACGGCCAUUGAUACUGUUAGACUUGAAUUAUAAGGAAGUAACUAGAAUAUGUAGUGUAGCGGUGAAAUGCUUAGAUAUUACAUGGAAUACCAAUUGCGAAGGCAGGUUACUACUUAUGGAUUGACGCUGAUGGACGAAAGCGUGGGGAGCGAACAGGAUUAGAUACCCUGGUAGUCCACGCCGUAAACGAUGGAUACUAGCUGUUCGGAGCAAUCUGAGUGGCUAAGCGAAAGUGAUAAGUAUCCCACCUGGGGAGUACGUUCGCAAGAAUGAAACUUAAAUGAAAUUGACGG